UACGUAGGGGGCAAGCGUUGUCCGGAAUCAUUGGGCGUAAAGCGCGCGUAGGCGGCCCUGUAAGUCCGUUGUGAAAGUCGAAGGCUCAACCUUCGAAAGCCGAAGGAUACUGCAGGGCUAGAGUCCGGAAGAGGCGAGUGGAAUUCCUGGUGUAGCGGUGGAAUGCGCAGAUAUCAGGAGGAACACCAAUAGCGAAGGCAGCUCGCUGGGACGGUACUGACGCUAAGGCGCGAAAGCGUGGGGAGCGAACAGG
Molecule: ribosomal RNA, 253 nt
Filed under: uncultured bacterium
Lineage: Bacteria
Description: partial 16S ribosomal RNA
Rfam family: Bacterial small subunit ribosomal RNA
Source: RNAcentral